This 697-nucleotide ribosomal RNA is filed under the name uncultured bacterium. Its description in RNAcentral is "bacterial SSU rRNA". It matches the Rfam family "Bacterial small subunit ribosomal RNA", at positions 134 to 851 of the family's 1533-position model. The record is from RNAcentral.
UACACACGGAUAACAUACCGAAAGGUAUGCUAAUACGGGAUAAUAUAUUUGAGAGGCAUCUCUUAAAUAUCAAAGGUGAGCCAGUACAGGAUGGACCCGCGUCUGAUUAGCUAGUUGGUAAGGUAACGGCUUACCAAGGCGACGAUCAGUAGCCGACCUGAGAGGGUGAUCGGCCACAUUGGAACUGAGACACGGUCCAAACUCCUACGGGAGGCAGCAGUGGGGAAUAUUGCACAAUGGGCGAAAGCCUGAUGCAGCAACGCCGCGUGAGUGAUGAAGGCCUUCGGGUCGUAAAACUCUGUCCUCAAGGAAGAUAAUGACGGUACUUGAGGAGGAAGCCCCGGCUAACUACGUGCCAGCAGCCGCGGUAAUACGUAGGGGGCCAGCGUUAUCCGGAUUUACUGGGCGUAAAGGGUGCGUAGGCGGUCUUUCAAGUCAGGAGUGAAAGGCUACGGCUCAACCGUAGUAAGCUCUUGAAACUGGGAGACUUGAGUGCAGGAGAGGAGAGUGGAAUUCCUAGUGUAGCGGUGAAAUGCGUAGAUAUUAGGAGGAACACCAGUUGCGAAGGCGGCUCUCUGGACUGUAACUGACGCUGAGGCACGAAAGCGUGGGGAGCAAACAGGAUUAGAUACCCUGGUAGUCCACGCUGUAAACGAUGAGUACUAGGUGUCGGGGGUUACCCCCUUCGGUGCCGCAG